GUGUUCGUAGUGUAAAGGUUAGCACAUAACACUGUGACUGUUAAGGAGGCGGGUUCAAUUCCCCUCGAACACC
This 73-nucleotide transfer RNA is filed under the name Planctomycetaceae bacterium. RNAcentral's name for it is "tRNA-His". It matches the Rfam family "tRNA". Rfam says of the family: Transfer RNA (tRNA) molecules are approximately 80 nucleotides in length. Their secondary structure includes four short double-helical elements and three loops (D, anti-codon, and T loops). Lineage: Bacteria; Pseudomonadati; Planctomycetota; Planctomycetia; Planctomycetales; Planctomycetaceae. The record is from RNAcentral.